Molecule: ribosomal RNA, 478 nt
Filed under: uncultured bacterium
Lineage: Bacteria
Description: partial 16S ribosomal RNA
Rfam family: Bacterial small subunit ribosomal RNA
Source: RNAcentral
GACGAACGCUGGCGGCGUGCUUAACACACGCAAGUCGAACGGUAAGGCCCUUCGGGGUACACGAGUGGCGAACGGGUGAGUAACACGUGGGUGAUCUGCCCUGCACUUCGGGAUAAGCCUGGGAAACUGGGUCUAAUACCGGAUAGGACUCCGGACUGCAUGGUCUGGGGUGGAAAGCUUUUGCGGUGUGGGAUGGGCCCGCGGCCUAUCAGCUUGUUGGUGGGGUGAUGGUCUACCAAGGCGACGACGGGUAGCCGGCCUGAGAGGGUGACCGGCCACACUGGGACUGAGAUACGGCCCAGACUCCUACGGGAGGCAGCAGUGGGGAAUAUUGCACAAUGGGCGCAAGCCUGAUGCAGCGACGCCGCGUGAGGGAUGACGGCCUUCGGGUUGUGAACCUCUUUCAGCACCGACGAAGCGCAAGUGACGGUAGGUGCAGAAGAAGGACCGGCCAACUACGUGCCAGCCGCCGCAGUAA